GCUGAGGGAAGAAUCAUGGGAAAGAGAUUGGGAAGGAGAAAGUCACUUGACUCACAGGCCAACUGCUAUGGACUGAAUUGUGUCUUCCCCUCAUUAAUAUGUUGAAACCCUAUCCUCCCUCCAAUGUGAUGGUAUUUGCAGAUGGGGCUUUUGGGAAGUAAUGAAGUUUAGAUGAGGCAUGAGGGCUGGAUGGAUAUGAUCAGAUGAGUGCCCAAAGAAGAGACACCAGAGAGCUAGCUUCUUCUUUCUCUUUCCACCUUUACACACUGAGAAAAGGCCAAGUGAGCACACACCAAGAAGGCAGCCAUCUGCAAACCCAAGGAGAGAGUCCUCACUAGACACCCUGCUGGUACCUUGAUCUUGGACUUCUAGCCUCCAGAACUGUGAGAAAUAAAUUCCUGUUGUUCAAGCUAGUAUUAAUACCUGGUGUUUUGUUAUGGCAGCCUAAGUGACUAAGACACCAACUUAAUUUACUUAGCCAGGGUCAAUCAGUGGUAGGGCCCAGGAUUCUGACCCAGUUCUGCCUAACUCCACAAUUCAUGCUUUUUCUGGAUAUAAACAUCUGCCUUCCCAGUUUCCCUGACUCUUAGAGCCGUGGAGCAGUGUGUGUCAUGUGCUGCACACCCAGGCUGGAACAGCCUGUCUCCAGGAGAAAACGAAUACAGCAGGGAUGACUUCCACCAGCUCCACUUUGCAGCUCUGAGGUGUAUUAAAAAUGACCUGGAAGAAGUCAUGCCACGGGCCAGACCUUAACAUUCCUUUCGGCUUACCCCAGGAUUUCAGACAAAGCUUCACUUUCCUAACCAGUCACAAAUCAGAGAAUUUUUGAUUCCACCUAUGACCUGUGAGCUCCUGCUUCAAGAUAUUCCACCUUUUUUAGGCCAAACCAAUGUAUAACCUCCAAGUGUCGAUUUACACUUUCGACUGUAACUUCUGCUUUCCUGAGAUUUACCCCUGCCUUUAAAAACCCUUGCUUGUAAUCCCUCAGGGAGGCCGUGUAUUUAUUAAUCAUGAGCUGCCCAAUUCUCCUUGCUUGGUGCCCUGCAAAUAAACACCCUCUUUUCUCCCACUGCAAAA
Molecule: long non-coding RNA, 1077 nt
Filed under: Homo sapiens (human)
Lineage: Eukaryota; Metazoa; Chordata; Mammalia; Primates; Hominidae
Description: PPP1R3B divergent transcript
Source: RNAcentral